GUUGGAUCUAUGGCUGUUUUCGAAACCGCCUACUAUAAACGCUAUUUGCUCCUUCGUGCUAUGUCAGAAUAACUACAGUGUUUCAUUCAUCGCAGACGAACAACUACCUGUUCCACUAAAAGUUUGAUGAUCCUCUUGUGAUUCUAAAUGAAAUGGAUCUUCGAGUAGCCUAUUCAUCUCACAGACAGCCCUGUAGUGUGAGUAAUAUUUUCAUUCUGAAAAUUGGACCAGAAGGACUCCAUGAUGCGAGCAUGGAAGCAACAGUUGGUAUCAUGAAUCAGAGUGGCGCGUUGCAGGAGAAAAUAGUCAUUAUAAACAUAGUUUUUUUAAGCUUCCCCUCUUUUUCAACACUCAUCUUACCUUCUGCUGCCUCCUGGCCAUGUCAGUAGGUUGCUUUGCGUUAAAUGGAUAUGCGAUGCAGCGCAUCACAAACACAUACAGCUGGAGUCUCUUUUUCUUCUCCUCCUCCUCCCUCUGCAUCUUCUCCAGGUCUUCCUUCUCUUUGUCACUGCCAACCGAGGGGCUGGGGCUGGAGGGUCGCCCAGCGCCACUCCCGCGGCCCCGGGGCUGGAGCCCUGCGCCGCUGCCGUGGCCGUCGGCGGCGGCACGGCCCGGUGACGGCCGGGCUCCAGCGACGCUCUUCGGGGCCGCCACCUCUUUGCGCUCCACCUCCAGUAUCUCAUCCCCUUCCUCCUCGCUGGAAGACGGGUCCAACAUGCUGCCGAGGCUUGGAUGGAGGCUGCACCUGCUGUCAAUGUACAACUGGAAAAGUAGGAGAAGAUGCCGGUAAGCCUCAGAGGAAGAGAUCCGGGGGGUAGUCGCUGUGGGAGACGCAAAAACCUGACUGAUGAGGAGUGGAUCAGACUGUUGUUUUCCAGGAAAAAAAAAACUGCCGUCAGACGAGUCAAUCCCAGGAUGGAAUAAAAAAAAGUGUUGGAA
Molecule: long non-coding RNA, 939 nt
Organism: Notolabrus celidotus (New Zealand spotty)
Lineage: Eukaryota; Metazoa; Chordata; Actinopteri; Labriformes; Labridae
Exons: 2
Source: RefSeq, a predicted model, not a curated record